GAUGUUAAUAUAGAGAGAUGAAUAUUUCUGUGGAACUUUAGAAGACGAAGAUAUUGUGUCCAGAUUCAAUCCAUUUUGAGUCGAUUUGAACCCUCACAUUCUAAAUAUUUUCGUGCAAUACUCAAAGUGCAGAUUCAAUCCAUUUUGAGUCGAUUUAAACACUUCUACAAACGUUCAGAGGAGCAUUCCAGAUUUUUUAGUGUCGUGUACAAAUUCAAUUCAGUACGUUCCCUAACGGCACUCAAAGGAGCGUCUCCAGAUUCGAUUUAGAACAUGCCCUAACGGCUCUCAAAGGAGCGUGUCCAGAUUCGUUUUAGAACAUGCCCCUAACGGCUCUCAAAGGAGCGUGUCCAGAUUCGAUUCAGAACAUGCCCCUAACGGCUCUCAAAGUAGCGUUUACAGAUUCAAUUCAGAACGUGCCCUAACGGCACUCAAAUUACAGUGCAAUGGCCGUUAAAAAAGCAGGGAUUUACUGCUUAUAAAUGAGCGGUUUACUUGAGAAGCAGGACAGAUUUCUUGUUCGGUUUUUUUUUUUGGUUUGAUUUGUCUCCCAUUGUAUGUUUUUGGCGUGGCCAUGCCUAUUUUUGAAUUUUAGUUUCGAUUUUUUUACAGUUUGUUGUUAUUUCGUGUAUCUUCUUUUUUCUGUGGGUCGUCAUUUUUUAAUGGGCAUGGAGUAGGCAGCAACAAGAACUCUACAUUUUGGAAUGGUUGAUUGGAGGUGUGGCCAGAAAAUAGAAAAUUGAUUUAAAUUUCACUCAUGGUUAACAGUGUUGGACUUCAGUAUCUAGAAAUGUUUGGAGGCUUGAAUGAGUAGUCACUGAAGUCAAAUAAUGAAGGGUAAUAUUUAAAAUUUCAGCAAAAAAUGUUAGGAAUCUUGAAUGGAUUGCUAAAUGUAAUAUUUAAAAUUGAAGAAAAUGUUGUACUUUUGAAUCAAUUACUGAAAUCAGUAUUUGUAAAUUGAUAUGUAAACAGAUUUGUUGUUUAAUGCCAAAUUUUUAU
Molecule: long non-coding RNA, 999 nt
Organism: Cryptomeria japonica (Japanese cedar)
Lineage: Eukaryota; Viridiplantae; Streptophyta; Pinopsida; Cupressales; Cupressaceae
Exons: 2
Source: RefSeq, a predicted model, not a curated record